Apteryx haastii (Great spotted kiwi) is the source of this 170-nucleotide unclassified non-coding RNA. The record is from Ensembl. Lineage: Eukaryota; Metazoa; Chordata; Aves; Apterygiformes; Apterygidae.
UUGCCUUCAAUGCAGGCUAAAAUCUUCUGUUCAUGAAUGAAACAGUACCGUUGGUGUACGUUUUUCUCUUCGCUUCUUCAUCUCCAAAUGUGCUUUAGUCAUAACCUAGAGGGACCACCUGCGAGUGAGAGGGUAGUUUAGUCUCCAUGCUUAUUCAGUCCUUGGUCUCU